This 81-nucleotide ribosomal RNA is filed under the name Streptomyces doudnae. Its description in RNAcentral is "Streptomyces sp. DSM 41981 partial 23S ribosomal RNA". It matches the Rfam family "Bacterial large subunit ribosomal RNA", at positions 2844 to 2925 of the family's 2925-position model. The record is from RNAcentral. Lineage: Bacteria; Bacillati; Actinomycetota; Actinomycetes; Kitasatosporales; Streptomycetaceae.
ACGACUGGGUUGAUAGGCCGGAUCUGGAAGCACGGUAACGUGUGGAGGUGACCGGUACUAAUAGGCCGAGGGCUUGUCCUC